CUGCAGCUCAAGUGGUGGCCGCUAUUAUUGGGCCUAAAACGUCCGUAGCCGGUUUAGUAAAUGCCUGGGUAAAUCGUGUAGCUUAACUAUACGAAUUCCGGGUAGACUGCUAAACUUGAGACCGGGAGAGGCUAGAGGUACUCCUGGGGUAGAGGUGAAAUUCUGUAAUCCUAGGGGGACCACCAGUGGCGAAGGCGUCUAGCUAGAACGGGUCUGACGGUGAGGGACGAAGCCCUGGGGCACAAACCGGAUUAGAUACCCGCGUAGUCC
RNAcentral lists this ribosomal RNA (270 nucleotides) under uncultured archaeon. Its description in RNAcentral is "partial 16S ribosomal RNA". It matches the Rfam family "Archaeal small subunit ribosomal RNA", at positions 477 to 747 of the family's 1478-position model. The record is from RNAcentral.